UACGUAGGGUGCGAGCGUUGUCCGGAAUUAUUGGGCGUAAAGAGCUCGUAGGCGGUGUGUCGCGUCGGUCGUGAAAACUUGGGGCUUAACCCUGAGCUUGCGGUCGAUACGGGCAUCACUGGAGUUCGGCAGGGGAGACUGGAAUUCCCGGUGUAGCGGUGAAAUGUGUAGAGAUCGGGAGGAACACCGGUGGCGAAGGCGGGUCUCUGGGCAAUUCCUGACGCUGAGGCGCGAAAGCGUGGGGAGCAAACGGG
This 254-nucleotide ribosomal RNA is filed under the name uncultured bacterium. RNAcentral describes it as "partial 16S ribosomal RNA". It matches the Rfam family "Bacterial small subunit ribosomal RNA", at positions 524 to 776 of the family's 1533-position model. The record is from RNAcentral.